This 210-nucleotide unclassified non-coding RNA is filed under the name Melitaea cinxia (Glanville fritillary). RNAcentral's name for it is "misc RNA ENSMCXG00005005564.1". Lineage: Eukaryota; Metazoa; Arthropoda; Insecta; Lepidoptera; Nymphalidae. The record is from RNAcentral.
UUUUAUGUAUGUUACAUCAGAACUUUUGACCGGGUGAACCGAUUUCGACAAAUUUUGUUUUAAUCGAAAGGUGGUGUGUGUCAAUUGGUCCCAUUUAAAUUUAUUUGAGAUCUAACAAUUACUUUUCGAGUUAUAUCUAAUAAUGCGUUUUUACUUGACGCUUUUUUCGUCGACCUACGUUGUAUUAUACCGCAUAACUUUCUACUGAAU